This 492-nucleotide ribosomal RNA is filed under the name uncultured bacterium. Its description in RNAcentral is "partial 16S ribosomal RNA". It matches the Rfam family "Bacterial small subunit ribosomal RNA", at positions 31 to 507 of the family's 1533-position model. The record is from RNAcentral.
AGGGAAAGCUGGCGGUAAGCCUAACACAUGCAAGUCGAACGGCAGCACAGUAAGAGCUUGCUCUUACGGGUGGCGAGUGGCGGACGGGUGAGGAAUACAUCGGAAUCUACUUUUUCGUGGGGGAUAACGUAGGGAAACUUACGCUAAUACCGCAUACGACCUACGGGUGAAAGCAGGGGAUCUUCGGACCUUGCGCGAUUGAAUGAGCCGAUGUCGGAUUAGCUAGUUGGCGGGGUAAAGGCCCACCAAGGCGACGAUCCGUAGCUGGUCUGAGAGGAUGAUCAGCCACACUGGAACUGAGACACGGUCCAGACUCCUACGGGAGGCAGCAGUGGGGAAUAUUGGACAAUGGGCGCAAGCCUGAUCCAGCCAUACCGCGUGGGUGAAGAAGGCCUUCGGGUUGUAAAGCCCUUUUGUUGGGAAAGAAAAGCAGCAGGUUAAUACCCCGCUGUUCUGACGGUACCCAAAGAAUAAGCACCGGCUAACUUCGUG